AUUGAACGCUGGCGGCAUGCUUUACACAUGCCAGUCGAACGGUAACAGGCCUUCGGGUGCUGAUGAGUGGCGAACGGGUGAGUAAUGCAUCGGAACGUACCCAGAGGUGGGGGAUAACGCAGCGAAAGCUGUGCUAAUACCGCAUGUGAUCUGAGGAUGAAAGCGGGGGACCGAGCAGCAAUGUUUGGCCUCGCGCCUUUGGAGCGGCCGAUGUCGGAUUAGCUAGUUGGUGGGGUAAAGGCCUACCAAGGCGACGAUCCGUAGCUGGUCUGAGAGGACGACCAGCCACACUGGGACUGAGACACGGCCCAGACUCCUACGGGAGGCAGCAGUGGGGAAUUUUGGACAAUGGGCGCAAGCCUGAUCCAGCAAUGCCGCGUGCGGGAAGAAGGCCUUCGGGUUGUAAACCGCUUUUGGCAGGAACGAAACGGUGUCCGCUAAUACCGGGCGCUAAUGACGGUACCUGCAGAAUAAGCACCGGCUAACUACGUG
Molecule: ribosomal RNA, 492 nt
Filed under: uncultured bacterium
Lineage: Bacteria
Description: partial 16S ribosomal RNA
Rfam family: Bacterial small subunit ribosomal RNA
Source: RNAcentral